Long non-coding RNA from Carassius gibelio (silver crucian carp), 1375 nucleotides. RefSeq lists it as uncharacterized. NCBI's taxonomy places the organism in Eukaryota, Metazoa, Chordata, Actinopteri, Cypriniformes, Cyprinidae. The record is from RefSeq and is a predicted model, not a curated record. The transcript is spliced from 3 exons.
AUAAAACCUAAACGAAAACUCAAAACUUUAUGAAACUAGGUGAAAUCAUGUAACAGGUGACUCUCAACAAGGCUGCAAAGUUUCAUGGAGAUUGAUCCAUAGGUGGCGCUAUAACAGUAGAAAAGGUCUCAUAACACAAGAUUUAGAUGGUAAAUGGCCUCAAACUGUUUGAAAAUGCACAUAUAUUCACUCAAAAACACCAAAUCUUCAUAUCAUAUGAUAGAUCUCCUCAUUCUGAAAAACUUUGCCUCUGGGACCAAUUUUGUCAAUAAAUCUGUUAAUUAAAUAUUCAAGAUUAUUUGAAAAAGUUACUUUGGCAAAGUAUUCCAAGGCUUUAAGCUGAAAAUCAAUAAAACCACUGAAGUACAAUUCUCUAGACUCAGAAGGUCAAUAAUUAUCAAAAACAUGUUGAACAAUUGCAUUUGGACAACUAUAAACCAGUAAUUUUAUAAUAUGUUCUUUUCAUAGUGUACACAAAGGCCUAUUAAUACAAACAGAAAGCCCACACAUUAUCAAAACUGUGUAAAACAAUGCGUAAUUUCAUUCUAAACAAGCAUGCAAAAUUUAAGAGAGAUUGGGCAAAAAAAAAAAAAAAACACUAUAACAGUUAUGUUUAAAAACAGUGUUGCUUGAGUAAAUGCAAUUUAUAACCUCUAGAUGGCAGUGGAAGACCACUAAUGGGCUCAUUCAGUUAAGUUGAACAGUACUGUUGAAAGGAUUCAUGAAUUCAUCCCAAAACAUUAAAAAUGUAACUGUUAUAACAUUUUAAAUCUCAUUGAGUCAAUGUUUUCCAUUUUGUUCUUACAGAUAUAUCAGUUUUUACUAUUUUGCCACAUUGUGAUUACAGUUUAACCUGAAAAUGACAUCUAAACUCUUACAAAGAGAAGACUUGCAAUAAGUUUAUUGUCACCUAUCACUUAUUUCAAAUACCUAUAUCUGCAACAAAAUGUUUGUGCAUGUAUAUGUGUGUCUUUCUGUGUGUGUGUGUGUGCAUAUGCUUAUAGAGUAUACAUAUAUUAGUCUAAUCAUUUACUUUCAGUGUGUGUGUCUGUCUGUUAGCCUGUUCUCCAUUUUGGAUGUGUUUAAAUGUCAUCCAUGCAUCCAGGUUGGCUCUGACCACCUCAGAGGCCUUAAUGUGCUUGAACCCCGGUAAAUGCUGCUUGCAGCUUUAAUUAUUAUUAUUAUUAUUAUUAUUAUUAUUCUUCCGCCCUAGAACUGAACGUGCAGCCCAAACCGUAAGGCCUAGAGAGCUGAAAUUUGGACAGAUCGUAGAGCUCAUUUUGGGGAGAACUUAUCAAAGUCUCAGCCCAAUCGGCCAAACGGGGGCGCUAUAGCGCAAAAAACAAAAAUUUUGGACGUUUUUGACCGUGAAUCG